Molecule: ribosomal RNA, 330 nt
Filed under: uncultured bacterium
Lineage: Bacteria
Description: bacterial SSU rRNA
Rfam family: Bacterial small subunit ribosomal RNA
Source: RNAcentral
AUUUUGACGUUUAGCUUGCAGAAGAAGCACCGGCUAACUCCGUGCCAGCAGCCGCGGUAAUACGGAGGGUGCGAGCGUUAAUCGGAAUUACUGGGCGUAAAGCGCAUGCAGGUGGUUUGUUAAGUUCAGAUGUGAAAGCCCGGGGCUCAACCUCGGAAUUGCAUUUGAAACUGGCAAACUAGAGUACUGUAGAGGGGGUAGAAUUUCAGGUGUAGCGGUGAAAUGCGUAGAGAUCUGAAGGAAUACCGGUGGCGAAGGCGGCCCCCUGGACAGAUACUGACACUCAGAUGCGAAAGCGUGGGGAGCAAACAGGAUUAGAUACCCUGGUAG